AUUAAUAUAUAGGGGAGCUUGUGUAAUCAGGCUGAGAAGAUAUCUAAUACGAUGAAAACCCUUAUACCUGAUCUGGGUAAUGCCAGCGUAGGAAAAUGACUAAUGUAUAUUU
Molecule: non-coding RNA, 112 nt
Filed under: Maledivibacter halophilus
Lineage: Bacteria; Bacillati; Bacillota; Clostridia; Peptostreptococcales; Caminicellaceae
Description: Clostridium halophilum TPP sequence
Rfam family: TPP riboswitch aptamer (THI element)
About the family: Vitamin B(1) in its active form thiamin pyrophosphate (TPP) is an essential coenzyme that is synthesised by coupling of pyrimidine and thiazole moieties in bacteria. The previously detected thiamin-regulatory element, thi box was extended, resulting in a new, highly conserved RNA secondary structure, the THI element, which is widely distributed in eubacteria and also occurs in some archaea.
Source: Rfam by way of RNAcentral